This 517-nucleotide long non-coding RNA is filed under the name Salmo salar (Atlantic salmon). Its description in RNAcentral is "lncRNA (ENSSSAG00000102659.1)". The record is from RNAcentral. Lineage: Eukaryota; Metazoa; Chordata; Actinopteri; Salmoniformes; Salmonidae.
GGAAAAGAUGCAGUGGAACUGGCUUCGAGGUCCAGAGUUGAGGGGCUCCGUUGCAACCUUAGUUGGAAAAACCAAGAAGACCUCCCAUCCACUUCACAUCAAAGAAUGCCUCUUCCAUUGAAACGAAGAGGGUGACUCUUCAUCUGGUAGCCAAGUUUACACGUCAUCUGACAGAAAGAGGCUUCAAACAAACAAUCUCUGCUCUUAAAGUAAACACCAGUGUUAACUGGCCUAAAUAUUUACCUUUUCGCUCUUUUCAUCCCUCUAUCCGUCCUGUCUUUCACGUUGAUGAGCCACACGCCUAGCACUGGCUUUGAGAUGGCUAUCACACACUCAGUGUAUCAAUCAUUUGGGUAGACGGGGGUAUACAACAUAUGGGCCCUCUAGCCCUUGGGGUGCAAUGGUAGGAGGGUUAUGAGGUGUGUGUGUUUGUGUGUGUAUGUGUGUAAACUCUUGAGACAUGUUGACAGAAGAGGUAAACUGUGGAGGUACACUCACAAGCACAGAGGGAGGAAGG